GCUUCAUUUUUAGAGACGGAAAAGAACAUCCGGGGCCGGAUCUAGUAUGUCAAGAAAUUCAACUUGAAUAUUGGGGGGAAGGUGGAGGGGGAGGUAAGCCUGAUAAUCCAAUCACAUUGUCACAAAUUUAUGGUCAUCAGAGGAAAAAAACAUACAAGUGCCACAAUCAUAAAACAGUAAACCAGAUAACAUAGAGCACGUGUACAAUGGUAAACUCAGCAAUAUAUAAUCCAUAAUUUCACAAAGACUAAUUAGUCCAUAAUAAAUUAAUAAUCCAUAAGAGUCUAACUGUCUAAGACCAAACAUCAACAGCAUGGAGUCAAAAACUUAAGCACUGAUUUCGAAUGAGUCAACACUCAACAUGCACAACAGGGCAGUAGGCAGUACAGCAACAUGCCAACAUGCAGGUCAAGCAUUGUGCAACAGAGCCCCCAAUAAAAGCAUUAGCCUACAAUGUCAACAAUGAUCCAUCAACACACAUUUAUAGCAUUAUAUAGCACAUGUUGAAAUAUGUAGCUAUUAGAAAUUUUAGUAUAUAAAUAGGUGGAAUGGAAUAGGAAGAAAUUGCACACAACUGUUGUAAGAAUCUGUUCCAUUUUACCUGUAUAAUUGGUCAAAGAUGAUGCUCAUCAAUAUGUUCUGCCUUUCUUUUGUCGUAACUGAAAUUUAUAACGCUGCCAUGGUUUAAUAAUGCACACCAUAUAUGUACGUGAUCUAGGGAGGAAUAAUGCAGAAAUUGUAUAUCGUAUAUUCACGACUUGUUCUACAAAAUAUUACAUCUUCUUAUCUAAAGUAGCUUCAAACAUUCAAAUUAAAUCAUAUCGUCAAACUUAACUGCCAGUUGCGUUCAUCCAACCAGCGCCACAGCCAAUUUAAUUGAUCUAUAUUUUUUCAGCCCAUCUUCUUUUGCUCAAAUCCUAUAGGCUUCUGUUCUCUUUCACUCUCAGUGGCCUUCUUUCUUCCUCUUGAAAUGUUACUAGUACAACAGCUUAAUUACAGUAUCAACUCAAGGUAAUCAAACAAUAAGGAAUAUAUAUGGGGACAGACCAUACUUGUCUAUGGCUUAUCAAAUUACAUUGAGUAUAUGCUCGGAAUUUAAACCAAUGACAACAACUUAUUGCAAGAAGAUCUUCAAAGGACAAACUUGAGAAAAUUUAAAUAGGCUUUAUAUUGAAAGUUUCCCCAAAAUAAGGUCUCAUCUAAGAUUGAAGUUUCAAUUUAACCUCACCAUCUUUCUAACUGUCUAAAAGUCUAGAAUUACAGGCAGGACAAGCUUAUUUUCUACAUUCCUCAUCUUGGUGGACCUUCACCUUAAUACUAAGAUAGUAACAGCUUGUAUAUCACUCAAUUAUCACAGACAUGACACAUUGAACAUUCUAACCAAAUAAUUGUGAGCCAUUCUACUCCAUAAACAUGAUUCUUUUUACUUCAGCAUUUUCUGUUUAGUUCUUUUAACCUGUUCACUUACGUUCUAUAAAUCUCUCAUUUGCACUGUUCCCAAAUCGUCCAAACAAGGAUGAUAUGGGGAGGAAUAAUGUAGAAAUUGUAUAAUCUCAUCAACUUUAAAUAAAGAUACAAGCAGAAACAUCACAAUACUAUUGAAUCAAACAAAUAAAUAACCUCUAAAAUAUUGAUUACAUAGUAGUUCAUCCAAAAUAAGUAGAUGGGAAAUCGUAAAUAUCAGUAUUAAUACUUUAGAACUCACAAUUGAAGGAAUAACAAGUAGUAAAGAUAAGAUUUCGUUUAGGCUCGAAGUCAGAGAUGAGGUUCUGUCGUUCGGAGGCGGAGUGGAGUCGCGACGUCCGACGUGGAAUUUGGGGACUGGGGUUUUAGCUUUUAGGUUAGGGAGUUAGGGUAAAAACAGAGAUGAGAGAUCGAGAUCGAGAUUUGAGGGAUGAGAGAUCGAGAGACGAGAGGGAUGAGAGAUGUCAGAUGAGAGAUCGAGAGUUCGAGAUGAGAGGGAAGUGAUGACUGAUGACCGAUGAGGCGAAGAGAGGUAGAGAGUUUGAGAUCUGGGCUGGGCUAGUGCGGUAGUGCCUAGUGGCCUGAGA
This 2051-nucleotide long non-coding RNA is filed under the name Panax ginseng (ginseng). RNAcentral's name for it is "long non-coding RNA (PGIN_LNC009322)". The record is from RNAcentral. Lineage: Eukaryota; Viridiplantae; Streptophyta; Magnoliopsida; Apiales; Araliaceae.